This 1046-nucleotide ribosomal RNA is filed under the name Salmonella enterica. RNAcentral's name for it is "partial 23S ribosomal RNA". It matches the Rfam family "Bacterial large subunit ribosomal RNA", at positions 1181 to 2210 of the family's 2925-position model. Lineage: Bacteria; Pseudomonadati; Pseudomonadota; Gammaproteobacteria; Enterobacterales; Enterobacteriaceae. The record is from RNAcentral.
CUAAACCAUGCACCGAAGCUGCGGCAGCGACACUGUGUGUUGUUGGGUAGGGGAGCGUUCUGUAAGCCUGUGAAGGUGUGUCGUGAGGCAUGCUGGAGGUAUCAGAAGUGCGAAUGCUGACAUAAGUAACGAUAAAGCGGGUGAAAAGCCCGCUCGCCGGAAGACCAAGGGUUCCUGUCCAACGUUAAUCGGGGCAGGGUGAGUCGACCCCUAAGGCGAGGCCGAAAGGCGUAGUCGAUGGGAAACGGGUUAAUAUUCCCGUACUUGGUGUUACUGCGAAGGGGGGACGGAGAAGGCUAUGUUGGCCGGGCGACGGUUGUCCCGGUUUAAGCGUGUAGGUGUGUGUUCCAGGUAAAUCCGGUUCACUUUAACACUGAGGCGUGACGACGAGGCACUACGGUGCUGAAGCAACAAAUGCCCUGCUUCCAGGAAAAGCCUCUAAGCAUCAGGUAACAUCAAAUCGUACCCCAAACCGACACAGGUGGUCAGGUAGAGAAUACCAAGGCGCUUGAGAGAACUCGGGUGAAGGAACUAGGCAAAAUGGUGCCGUAACUUCGGGAGAAGGCACGCUGACACGUAGGUGAAGUGAUUUACUCAUGGAGCUGAAGUCAGUCGAAGAUACCAGCUGGCUGCAACUGUUUAUUAAAAACACAGCACUGUGCAAACACGAAAGUGGACGUAUACGGUGUGACGCCUGCCCGGUGCCGGAAGGUUAAUUGAUGGGGUCAGCGCAAGCGAAGCUCCUGAUCGAAGCCCCGGUAAACGGCGGCCGUAACUAUAACGGUCCUAAGGUAGCGAAAUUCCUUGUCGGGUAAGUUCCGACCUGCACGAAUGGCGUAAUGAUGGCCAGGCUGUCUCCACCCGAGACUCAGUGAAAUUGAACUCGCUGUGAAGAUGCAGUGUACCCGCGGCAAGACGGAAAGACCCCGUGAACCUUUACUAUAGCUUGACACUGAACAUUGAGCCUUGAUGUGUAGGAUAGGUGGGAGGCUUUGAAGUGUGGACGCCAGUCUGCAUGGAGCCGACCUUGAAAUACCACCCUUUAA